RNAcentral lists this ribosomal RNA (422 nucleotides) under Amblyomma maculatum (Gulf Coast tick). RNAcentral's name for it is "partial small subunit ribosomal RNA". Lineage: Eukaryota; Metazoa; Arthropoda; Arachnida; Ixodida; Ixodidae. The record is from RNAcentral.
AUUGCUGUAGUAUUUUGACUAUACAAAGGUAUUGAAAUAAGACUUUAAUUGAGUGCUAAGAGAAUGGAAUUUCAUAAAAUUUCUUUUUUAAUUUUAAAAAUUGAAAUUAAUUUUAUAUGUGAAGAAACAAUAAUAAAAAUUAAGGACAAGAAGACCCUAAGAAUUUUAAAAAUUUCAAUAAAAUGCUGUAUUUUAUUGAAAUUUUUUAAUUGGGGCGAUUAUUAAAUAUUAAAAACUUUAAUUUUUUAAAAAAGAACCAAUAAUAUUGGUUAUUUGAAAAAAUACUCUAGGGAUAACAGCGUAAUAAUUUUUGAUAGUUCUUAUAGACAAAAUAGUUUGCGACCUCGAUGUUGGAUUAGGAUUCUUUUUUAAUGAAGAAGUUAAAAAAAGAAGUUUGUUCAACUUUUAAAAUCCUACUUGAU